GUAUGUAUUUGUUCAUGUUUUACAAAGGGUUUAACCUGAGCCAGGCCAUACAACAAUGAUAGCAAUCAUGUCACAUCCAUACAGCGUUAGUCAUAUACAGCUGUCACAAUAUAAAAUAU
Long non-coding RNA from Sander lucioperca (pikeperch), 119 nucleotides. RefSeq lists it as uncharacterized. NCBI's taxonomy places the organism in Eukaryota, Metazoa, Chordata, Actinopteri, Perciformes, Percidae. The transcript is spliced from 3 exons. The record is from RefSeq and is a predicted model, not a curated record.